GGAUGAGAUUGAAAGGAAAGGCAGCAUUUUGGUGGACUACAUAGACCUUCUGUUUAACAAACUGAUUCCACAUACUCUACUUGAUCUUGCCAAAGAUCUUAAAGAAAUGCCUGAGAAGAUACUGGACUGCUUCGUUGUCUAUUCAUCAGGUUGUGGAUUUUGAGGGCUUCAUCUGUGCACUCAAUGAGCAGGGUUACCUUCUGAAGAAAGCCCACAGGAAGUAUCAGUCUCAAACCACAUGAAUCAGCCAUCUCUUGUGAUGUUUUACACUCUAACUGUAUCAUCCUGUUUCGUUUGUUUUUCAAUGCAACAGAUAUUAUACUUAUACCAUACAGUGUGAUGUAUGUUUACACAAAUGCUUCAAUGUUAUUAUCUGUACAUUGUUUUCAUGUACAUAAAUAAACUCAUAAUUGUUUUAAAUAGUAUUUUCCUUUUAUAUAAUCAAACAGUAACCUCAUUUUUGAACAAUGUUUAAGUAGUUUUGUAUCUAAUGAUGUUAGCUGUGUCCUUUCAGUAGAUUCUUCUAAAUUUAAUAUUGAACUUUUAAGUCUGUUUAUACUACUGUCUGUGAAAUAACCACACUUAUACAUGUGCCGCUGAUAAAUUUAAUUGCAAUAUAUAUUAAAAAAACAUUAAAAUGCA
Carassius carassius (crucian carp) is the source of this 642-nucleotide long non-coding RNA. RefSeq lists it as uncharacterized. The record is from RefSeq and is a predicted model, not a curated record. NCBI's taxonomy places the organism in Eukaryota, Metazoa, Chordata, Actinopteri, Cypriniformes, Cyprinidae. The transcript is spliced from 2 exons.